Molecule: ribosomal RNA, 448 nt
Filed under: Streptomyces sp. 1LA1
Lineage: Bacteria; Bacillati; Actinomycetota; Actinomycetes; Kitasatosporales; Streptomycetaceae
Description: bacterial SSU rRNA
Rfam family: Bacterial small subunit ribosomal RNA
Source: RNAcentral
AGUUUGAUCCUGGCUCAGGACGAACGCUGGCGGCGUGCUUAACACAUGCAAGUCGAACGAUGAACCGCUUUCGGGCGGGGAUUAGUGGCGAACGGGUGAGUAACACGUGGGCAAUCUGCCCUGCACUCUGGGACAAGCCCUGGAAACGGGGUCUAAUACCGGAUAUGACCGUCUGCCGCAUGGUGGAUGGUGUAAAGCUCCGGCGGUGCAGGAUGAGCCCGCGGCCUAUCAGCUUGUUGGUGAGGUAGUGGCUCACCAAGGCGACGACGGGUAGCCGGCCUGAGAGGGCGACCGGCCACACUGGGACUGAGACACGGCCCAGACUCCUACGGGAGGCAGCAGUGGGGAAUAUUGCACAAUGGGCGAAAGCCUGAUGCAGCGACGCCGCGUGAGGGAUGACGGCCUUCGGGUUGUAAACCUCUUUCAGCAGGGAAGAAGCGAAAGUGAC